This 1665-nucleotide long non-coding RNA is filed under the name Helianthus annuus (common sunflower). RNAcentral describes it as "hypothetical non coding rna". Lineage: Eukaryota; Viridiplantae; Streptophyta; Magnoliopsida; Asterales; Asteraceae. The record is from RNAcentral.
UUAAAUAUAUCAUAUUAAUCAAGAGGAAACUUGUGUUCACAACUUACAAAUGUCAAAAAAUAUAAAUUAGAAAAAAAAUGAGAAUAUUUUUCUAAGUCUUCCUCAUUAUAAGCAAAGAAUCUUGCUCAUCAUAUCUUUUUCUUUUCUUCAUCAAAUUAAAAAAAAAGAAUCCUAAACAAAAAAUAAAUCAAAACUAUGACUUUACAGACUUGACCUUGCCUUGUUCAUAACCAUAGUACCAAAGAUACCAUUUAACAAACUUCCUCAACCCGGUAGGCAGAUCCGUAGUCGGUUUAUACCCGAGUUCGCGUUGAGCUAAACUUAUAUUCGCGUGUGUAAACGGAACAUCGCCAUUUCCAGGCAUAUCCACCACAUUCUUCUUCGCUUUCAUCUUCAAAUUCUUUUCGAGUAUACUCACGAGUGUCGGUACCGUAACAGGCGAGGUAUUACCCAAAUUAAAAAUCCUGUACGGGGCGGGCCCCUUUUUCUUCCCACCCGACCCGGUACUCUUACCCGCGGUAUCCAACGACCCCACACAUCCUUUCACAAUAUCAUCAAUAUACGUAAAAUCCCGUGCCAAAUCUACCCCAUUCUUCCCACGAUACACUGUUAUCGGUUUCCCCUGUAAAAUAUUCUUCGUAAACGAAAAAUAAGCCAUGUCAGGUCGGCCCCACGGCCCGUAAACCGUAAAAAAUCUCAACCCGGUUAUCGACAACCCGUAAAUAUGAUUAUAAGUAUGCGUUAUUUCUUCACCCGCUUUUUUUGUAGCCGCGUAAAGCGAAGCGGGUUGAUCCGUCCGAUCCGAUUCUGAAAACGGAACCUUGUCGUUUAACCCGUAAACCGAACUCGAACUCGCCCAUACAAUCGCGGGUUGUGGGUCGGCUGACUUGCAUUGCUCAAGUAAUGUAACCAAACCCGCAAUGUUACUAUGAACAUACGACUUAGGAUUCUCCAUCGCGUACCGGACACCCGCCUGUGCAGCCAAAUGCAUUACGUGUGUGAAACCAACAAUUUCAAAAAGUUUUGCUAAUAUAUUCUGAUCGUUAAUAUCAGCAUUUAUAAUAAAAAUAUUUUUAGAUUCCAGCAUCUUCCUUCGAGCUUUUUUCAACGCCGGAUCGUAGUAAUCGUUGAAGUUAUCGAUUCCGACGACACCGUCACCGCGUUUUUUCAACGCGAGUGACACGUGUGUCCCGACGAAACCGGCGGCGCCGGUGACGAGGACGGAGAAGCCGUUUUUCCGGUGGAUUUGUGAAGAUGAAAGAACGCGUUUCUCCCAAUGGGGUCCGGUAACGCUCCGGUGAGAUGUGUGGUGGAUGUGGUGGUUGCCGGUGGCGAUGAAGCUUAAAUACGACGCGGUUAAGGCGAUUAGAAACAACGCCCAUAGGAACAUAGUGCUGGUGGAUGCGAAACACCGGUGAAAAGUGCGGCGGUCGCUCUUGAUCUUCCCGGGUGUUGAUGGAAACAACUCUUCAUCCAUGUUAGAUUGAUGAAUUUGGGUGUCUGAAACAGAUUGUACAAAUGUGAAUUCUGGAUCCGAAAAUAGGAUUGCAGGUAGGUAAGAUCGACUUUACCUAUUGGAUGCAACCCUGCGCAAGCAGUGGUAUCAACAGUUUUUUUAGCUAUUUUAGGUUGUGUUCACAUUGGUUCUCGCGGUUCUUGCAAUAA